RNAcentral lists this ribosomal RNA (254 nucleotides) under uncultured bacterium. Its description in RNAcentral is "partial 16S ribosomal RNA". It matches the Rfam family "Bacterial small subunit ribosomal RNA", at positions 524 to 776 of the family's 1533-position model. The record is from RNAcentral.
UACGGGGGGGGCAAGCGUUGUUCGGAAUUACUGGGCGUAAAGGGCUCGUAGGCGGCCAACUAAGUCAGACGUGAAAUCCCUCGGCUUAACCGGGGAACUGCGUCUGAUACUGGAUGGCUUGAGUUUGGGAGAGGGAUGCGGAAUUCCAGGUGUAGCGGUGAAAUGCGUAGAUAUCUGGAGGAACACCGGUGGCGAAGGCGGCAUCCUGGGCCAACACUGGCGCUGAGUGAGCGAAAGCCAGGGGAGCAAACGGG